GGCCUAAUGGUCUAGUAGCAUGAUUCUUCCUUUGGGUGACGGGUCGCUCUGCACAAUUGGAAGAGGUCCUGGGUUCAAGUCCCAGUUGGGCCC
Non-coding RNA from Sphaerobolus stellatus SS14, 93 nucleotides. The record is from the annotation of a GenBank genome assembly. NCBI's taxonomy places the organism in Eukaryota, Fungi, Basidiomycota, Agaricomycetes, Geastrales, Sphaerobolaceae.